This 227-nucleotide ribosomal RNA is filed under the name uncultured Enterobacterales bacterium. Its description in RNAcentral is "partial 16S ribosomal RNA". It matches the Rfam family "Bacterial small subunit ribosomal RNA", at positions 104 to 334 of the family's 1533-position model. The record is from RNAcentral. Lineage: Bacteria; Pseudomonadati; Pseudomonadota; Gammaproteobacteria; Enterobacterales.
GGGUGAGUAAUGUCUGGGAAACUGCCUGAUGGAGGGGGAUAACUACUGGAAACGGUAGCUAAUACCGCAUAACGUCGCAAGACCAAAGAGGGGGACCUUCGGGCCUCUUGCCAUCAGAUGUGCCCAGAUGGGAUUAGCCUGUUGGUGAGGUAACGGCUCACCAAGGCGACGAUCCCUAGCUGGUCUGAGAGGAUGACCUGCCACACUGGAACUGAGACACGGUCCAG